This 287-nucleotide long non-coding RNA is filed under the name Setaria viridis. RNAcentral's name for it is "long non-coding RNA (SVIR_LNC001673)". The record is from RNAcentral. Lineage: Eukaryota; Viridiplantae; Streptophyta; Magnoliopsida; Poales; Poaceae.
GUGAGAUAGGGGAGGAGACAUGUGAGGGGAGAAGAAAGGAGAGAAGAGGUCAGGGAAGAGGGAGAAGAAGAGGUCAGCCCUCUUUGGUUAUUACCUGGGUCCGCUCUGCUUGCAAUUUCUAAUUUGAUAGUCUAAUUGAUUUUAGAUUUGGAUAGGGAUAAGGACGACCAACUGCCGCGCAGGACUAAUCCGGAGAAAGGAGAAUAAUGUUUGGCAAUCAACACCGGGAUGCUGUUUUGAGUGUUUGUAGUCCAAAAGCAGCUUUGCAAGCAGAGUGGCCAGGCAGC